AGAGUUUGAUCCUGGCUCAGAACGAACGCUGGCGGCAGGCCUCAAACAUGCAAGUCUAGGGGGUGCAGCAAUGCAUCACCGGCGGACGGGUGCGUAACGCGUGGGAAUAUACCUAUUGGUUCGGAACAACUGCGGGAAACUGCAGCUAAUACCGAAUGUGCCCGCAAGGGGAAAGAUUUAUCGCCAAUGGAUUAGCCCGCGUAGGAUUAGCUAGUUGGUGGGGUAAUGGCCCACCAAGGCUCCGAUCCUUAGCUGUUCUGAGAGGAAGAUCAGCCACACUGGGACUGAGACACGGCCCAGACUCCUACGGGAGGCAGCAGUUGGGAAUCUUGGACAAUGGGGGAAACCCUGAUCCAGCCAUGCCGCGUGAGUGAUGAAGGCCUUCGGGUUGUAAAACUCUUUCGACGGGGACGAUAAUGACGGUACCCGUAGAAGAAGCUCCGGCUAACUUCGUGCCAGCAGCCGCGGUAAUACGAAGGGGGCUAGCGUUGUUCGGAAUUACUGGGCGUAAAGCGCGCGCAGGCGGCUAUCCAAGUCAGUGGUGAAAGCCCGGAGCUCAACUCCGGAACUGCCAUUGAAACUGUUUAGCUUGAGGACGAGAGAGGUGAGUGGAAUUCCCAGUGUAGAGGUGAAAUUCGUAGAUAUUGGGAAGAACACCGGUGGCGAAGGCGGCUCACUGGCUCGUUUCUGACGCUCAGGCGCGAUAGCGUGGGGAUCAAACAGGAUUAGAUACCCUAGUAGUCC
RNAcentral lists this ribosomal RNA (744 nucleotides) under uncultured bacterium. RNAcentral describes it as "bacterial SSU rRNA". It matches the Rfam family "Bacterial small subunit ribosomal RNA", at positions 8 to 796 of the family's 1533-position model. The record is from RNAcentral.